Molecule: ribosomal RNA, 253 nt
Filed under: uncultured bacterium
Lineage: Bacteria
Description: partial 16S ribosomal RNA
Rfam family: Bacterial small subunit ribosomal RNA
Source: RNAcentral
UACGGAGGGUGCAAGCGUUAAUCGGAAUUACUGGGCGUAAAGCGCACGCAGGCGGUCUGUCAAGUCGGAUGUGAAAUCCCCGGGCUUAACCUGGGAACUGCAUCUGAAACUGGUUGGCUAGAGUCUUGUAGAGGGGGGUAGAAUUCCAUGUGUAGCGGUGAAAUGCGUAGAGAUGUGGAGGAAUACCAGUGGCGAAGGCGGCCCCCUGGACAAAGACUGACGCUCAGGUGCGAAAGCGUGGGGAGCAAACAGG